CAGCACCUCAAGUGGUCAGGAUGAUUAUUGGGCCUAAAGCAUCCGUAGCCUGCUUUGUUAGUUUUCGGUUAAAUCCAUACGCUUAACGUAUGGGCUGCCGGGAAUACUGCAAAGCUAGGGAGUGGGAGAGGUAGACGGUACUCGGUAGGAAGGGGUAAAAUCCUUUGAUCUAUUGAUGACCACCUGUGGCGAAGGCGGUCUACCAGAACACGUCCGACGGUGAGGGAUGAAAGCUGGGGGAGCAAACCGGAUUAGAGACCCGAGUAGUCC
This 270-nucleotide ribosomal RNA is filed under the name uncultured archaeon. RNAcentral describes it as "partial 16S ribosomal RNA". It matches the Rfam family "Archaeal small subunit ribosomal RNA", at positions 477 to 747 of the family's 1478-position model. The record is from RNAcentral.